ACGGGAGGCAGCAGUGGGGAAUAUUGCACAAUGGGGGAAACCCUGAUGCAGCCAUGCCGCGUGUGUGAAGAAGGCCUUCGGGUUGUAAAGCACUUUCAGCGAGGAGGAAAGGUUGUUGGCUAAUACCCAGCAACUGUGACGUUACUCGCAGAAGAAGCACCGGCUAACUCCGUGCCAGCAGCCGCGGUAAUACGGAGGGUGCAAGCGUUAAUCGGAAUUACUGGGCGUAAAGCGCACGCAGGCGGUUGGAUAAGUUAGAUGUGAAAGCCCCGGGCUCAACCUGGGAAUUGCAUUUAAAACUGUCCAGCUAGAGUCUUGUAGAGGGGGGUAGAAUUCCAGGUGUAGCGGUGAAAUGCGUAGAGAUCUGGAGGAAUACCGGUGGCGAAGGCGGCCCCCUGGACAAAGACUGACGCUCAGGUGCGAAAGCGUGGGGAGCAAACAGGAUUAGAUACCC
Molecule: ribosomal RNA, 454 nt
Filed under: Aeromonas sp.
Lineage: Bacteria; Pseudomonadati; Pseudomonadota; Gammaproteobacteria; Aeromonadales; Aeromonadaceae
Description: bacterial SSU rRNA
Rfam family: Bacterial small subunit ribosomal RNA
Source: RNAcentral